Molecule: long non-coding RNA, 3473 nt
Organism: Lycium ferocissimum
Lineage: Eukaryota; Viridiplantae; Streptophyta; Magnoliopsida; Solanales; Solanaceae
Exons: 2
Source: RefSeq, a predicted model, not a curated record
GAGAAAUUGAGACUCAACAUUUUUCUUAAAGUAUCUUUUUCCUUUCCAUUUUGUGUUAGUGUUUCUCUCUCUUUUCCCUUCUCUCUCCCUUCUCAACUUUCAUCAGCUUCUUCAUCUGGUGUUCAUCUUCCGAGUGUGAGCUUUCUGUUUCAAUGACAUUUUCCUAAAAUCUUUAUUUAGUAGACCUUAUCCUCUUUACCGGAGUUGUACAUUGUCGUUUGCAAAAGCGGAAAAAAUGAGAAUAAAUUAAUACACCUCCAAGGAAUAAAGAGGCUUCACCAAAUACGGGAAGCUCCCAUGUUGUAGUGGACGAAGAGCGAUGGCAUUUCCCUUAACAGCUUAGGUAAAGAUUCCUUAUAAAGCUUAUUAUACUUCUGUGACGCACUCAAAUUUGUUAGUUCAAAGAGAAACUGCUGCUUCAUGCCUGAGUAAUUUUUAAAAAGGAGUAAGUCAUCUAUCAUUUUGAGUGUCCUCUUGAGUUUUCUAUAUCCAGGGAUCUGAGAGUCAAUACAAUGAGUAGAACAUGACCUUCACAGUCAAAUUGUUAGUAUCCCACUUGCUUAAUAAUUAAGAAGCAGCCAUACAUUUGUCCUAAACUUAAUAAAAGAUCACAAUCUAUAAUAAAUAAGCCACUUUUGCACAAUUUUGGAAAGAACAUUUUUAGCAUGGACGUUGUGAGUACCUUCCCUCUUGGUUCUGUUUGCUUGAGUCAUUCAAUUUAACAAUAUCUGAUGUGCUUUAUGUAAAUAUCCCAGGUUGGAAAUGCACUAUAUGAUGGUCAACUUCUUGAUGUUCAUUUUACACGGUCCUUCGACAAGCAUAUAGUUUGAGCUCUGACAUAUCAUGAUAUCAAAGCUAUUGAUCCUAACCACUUCAAAAAUUUGAAAUGACUGCUUGAAGUGCAGUAAUUUCUGUUUUCUCUGGGAUUAUAGAAAUUAACCUGGUAAUCAAAAAUAGAACAUCACCAGAGCAAAACUGGAACAUAAAUUGAAUUUCUUAAAAAAGAAAAACAAAAGCGAGACUAGAAACAGAAGCACUUGAAAUAAAAAGAUUAGUAACAGAUAUGAAGAUUUAAGUGAGAGAUAAAGAGUCGGAGAAAGGAACGAAGAGUUAAGAAGGAGAAGUGGAAAACACACAUUCCAAAAAUUUACACGCGUGUCACCCAAAAAUAGGAGAAGUGAGGAGUUGUGUCUAUAGUAAAAGAGUAAAAAAAUCAUUAUGACCAAGUUUAAUUGUACAAAACACAACCAUUGAAAUUUCAGCAUUUGUGUUACUGUGGUUCUCGUUUCCAUUUGUGUAAUGCAGGUGGCUGACAACGGACUAAUCCCGAGUGGAUAAAAUAUCAGAGUCGCUGAGGAAAAUAAGCAAUAGUAUGUUGACUUGGUUGCUGAGAAUCGUUUGACGACUACUAUCUGCCCUCUGAUAAAUGCAUUUUUGGAAGGAUUUAAUUAAUUGAUCCCGCAGGAUCUGAUCUCUAUUUUUCAGGACAAGGAAAUUGAGUUGUUAACUAUCGGUCUUCCAAACAUCGAUGAUCAUCGAUCGUAUGUUUCAUUAUUUUCUUUAUGUGUUAAUUCAUGUAGUAAUCCUGUAUUAGAUAGUUAUUUCACAAAGAUCAAGAAAGAAUAAAAGAAAGCAUGUUCGCUAGAAAACACAGUGGCUACUCUCAUUGUACAUUUGAAACUCGAACAAUUGGAUAUCAAAAUCUAGAGAUGUAGUGGCAGAUAAUGAAUGCAGUACACUGAGCCACAUUAAUGAAAACUGAUGAAAAUGGAAAAAAUAUUAUAUGACAUGCCUCAACUUUUAAAUUUUGCAACAAAUUGUCCACUCUCAAUGUAACGUAUUAUGUUUCUAGCACAGUCCAACGUCUCCUUUUCUUAGCUAGAAACAAAACCAAGCUAUUAUCUAAUGAAGCCAAAUCAAUGUGCUCUAUUGUGUUUCAAUCUAAUAAGAACCACCCGAACUUUCUAUAUAUAGCUUCAUAACAGGUUUGCCAAUUUUGCUAAAGAUACCACUAGAAGUCCAUGUUGCUUCCUCUGUCCAUAUUACUUCUAUUGCUUUCCUUUUAUGUGCAUCUAAUUUACUGCAAAUGAAUUGGCAUCAACCCCUAUAUUCUAUUGCAUAUUUAAUUAGUAGUCUUGAAAUCAGCUCAGGUGAUAUGAGGAGAUAAUGGGUUAUUCCAUAUCUUAUUCAUUUAAUUUAUCAGAAUACCUUACAUGUAAGCUGAUUAAUAUUGCGACCUAAGGAACAUCCAACAUGUUGACAUUUAUCUAGAGAAAUCAACACAAUGGUUAAUGGUUAUAGCUGCCAAUUUGAGUUUUUUGGUUUUCUCUCCUCCUUGAUCUCACACAACUGGACACCAUAAUCACAUGGAUUGUCACUGUAUACUAUAUUGUUGCUAUUCCCACUCUGGGGCUUUUGAUUGGUGUUGACAAGUUUCUUCUUCAGUGGUGAAAGAGGAAUAAACUAGCUUAUGAUUUUAAGAUUUUUUUUUUCCAUUUCUUUUUUGGAAGCUCUAUCACUUAUAUAUGUAGAUGAGAGUGCUAUUGUAACUCUCUCUCUCUCCAUUUUCUUUUGUAUUUCGGGUCUGAGAUGGAUGUAAGGCAAAAAAGGAAAUGAGGAGUUUAGGAAAAUGGGCUAUAAAUUAGAAGUGGCCAAAUCAUUCAUCUUCAUUGGAACAUGUGGAUUAUGUAUUUAUGUUGAGCAUCAUCUAGUGGAGAAUGAUUGCAGCACAAGUAAGAGAUUGAAUUGCUAAUUAUAAAAGUUGUCUUGGAGUCUUUUUGAGAAUUAAGGGCUCAUUUAGUACAAGGGAUAAGGGAUAAAUACUUACGGGAUUAAAUUUGAGGUGAGUUUAUCCCAUGUUUGGUUGGGAUAAAAUCUCAGUAUAACUAAUCCUAGGAUCAGUUAUCCCAGGAUUGUAGUGUUAUUGUAUUCCUAUGGGAGGGUGGAAUAACUAAUCCCUGUAUAAGUAAUACUCGGAUAACUUGUUUCCCAACCAAACGACCCCUAAGAGUUAUCUGGUAGCUUUUUCAUUGCUGGAAAGGUAGAAUGGGAUGCACCAGCUGAUAAUGCUUAGUUCAUCAGUUGAAAAUAUUAUGCACUUGCCAGACAUAAAUGAUUCAUAGUUACAUGUGUUAACAUCUGUUUUGAGUCCAAGUGUUUAAUUUGGAGUCCUUUUGUGCUUCUACUUUUUCUUUCGAGGUUUCUCAAACAUGUAGUUAUAUAUUUUGGUGUUUAAAGUCUGCUUUAAGUCCUUUAGGUUGGUCUUCCACGAGAGAAUUCAACUGUUUCAUGGUCAAAAGUUCACAUGUACUGCAGAGAGAGAAUAAAAGCGGGGCAUGCAUCUACUUUUGAAGAGAUGUUUAGUUUCUUCACUUUCAAGUUUGUUUGUAAUUAUAAUUAAGGGUACAUAAAAUACCUUAUUUGUAUAUGUUGCUAUGAUUCAAUCAAUGACAAUUAUAAUGGACGUUCUCAUA